This 29-nucleotide small RNA is filed under the name Bombyx mori (domestic silkworm). RNAcentral's name for it is "piRNA piR-bmo-1487497". The record is from RNAcentral. Lineage: Eukaryota; Metazoa; Arthropoda; Insecta; Lepidoptera; Bombycidae.
UAGCGAUUAAAAAACCUAACAAACCUACC